This is a long non-coding RNA of Pecten maximus, 4730 nucleotides long. RefSeq lists it as uncharacterized. The transcript is spliced from 2 exons. The record is from RefSeq and is a predicted model, not a curated record. Lineage: Eukaryota; Metazoa; Mollusca; Bivalvia; Pectinida; Pectinidae.
UUGGUUAUUGAGAAGAUGUUUAAAGAUUUUAGCCUGUUUGACCCCUGAGGCCUUGAAUGUAGGUCAAGAUUAUUCAUUUGAAGAAAUUGGUUGCACUUCACCCUAGUUUGCCAAUAUCAGGUCUCUGUCCUCAUGGUUAUUGAGAAAUUGUUUAAAUGAAAAAGCUUAUGUUAGAUGAUCAGAUAGACAGCUGGUUGACGCACGCCACACCAUGGCAUAAGGUCACUCGACUUCUGGCAGGUAUAAAUAUAAGACAACAACAAUUUAAGGCCAUUGAAUUUUAUUUCGCCAUUUGUAUUUUUUUUUAUUUUUAGUUUUUCUCUGACAAUUCAGUAUCUAUAUAUAAUUACAGAAUCUAUAAAUAUCACAUAACGACACUAAACUCGGUCACGGUGUAAAAAUUACAACCUAUAGAUAUCUCCAGUCAUUCACAGCCGUCAAAUCAAUUCUAUCAGUAAAGUAUAAACCGCCGGAUAACAGUCCAUCACACAAAAUCGUCACAUCAAUCAAUUUAGUUUUAAAGGUCAAAGCUAUGUAUUAAAUGUCAAAGAUAUCUGUCAUAAAAUAUCUCAAAGCUAUGUAUUAUAUGUGUCAAAGAUAUCUGUCAUAAAAUAUCCAUCUUAUAAAUCUGCGGAAAUCAUACACCAAAUAUCCCCUAAAUCUGUUGAAUCUGUCACGUAAAAUCAAAUAUGCUUCAAUAUGGUGUCCUGUUAUCUCUAAUGUGCAUCAAAACAUCUUGCUUCAAAUCCAUUUGUUCUGUUAGCUGUUUAUCAUAUACCCAAGUUCUCAGCUAUUUAUCUUCUUAAAAUUAUCAUAAAGGUUUAAAAGUUAUAUGUCACUAAAAUCCAUGUUACCAUGUUCAUAUUGGUAGAUUUGCAUAAUGUCGAAUACAAGUCACCACGCAUGCCAUCCGGGUUGUCCAGAUUUUCCACAUGCUCUAUUAGGGAGAAUUACAGUUCAAACCGGUCUUACAGAAUCUACUCGACUGGAAUUCACAAACCUCUCUAAAAAUUUAAUUUAUGCAAACCGAUACAUUCUAAUAAGUGCCAUGCCCAUGCUUAUUAUGGGGACCUCAUACAAUGAAAACAAAAACAAAACCGAAAAGAUUUUAAGUACAACAGUACUGAACUCGCAACGAAUUAUACCACUGUCCAUCACAACUCACUUCACACUUCUCUAAACUGACAUUUUCGACUUGUUAUAAAAGUUUUUUUUCUGAAUUUAUUUUCAUACAGUUUAAUAUAAAUGAUACUUAGUGUUGCCUUUUGCUACAUCGUUAUGCCCCAAUUUAUCCCUUAGGUCUGAAGAGUUAUCAAGUCACAGCGUUUCUGUAAUAGAUAGAUCUAUCAGCAAAUCUAUUCAUUUUAGUGUUACUUAAAAAAAGUGGUCUUUUACGUUGGUGAGGUAUUGGUCAACAAAUAACCUUUGCUGUUGUUAAAAAGGCAAAAUACUCCAAGAUGAAAUAGAACUAUGUGUCCCAGUCAUUAAUUACAUUAUAUCAUAAAUAUUGUUAUACACAGUGAAGUUUCUUCAGUAACUCUAAGGGCUGGUCAGUCAGGAGUACUGGCGUUCAUUUAACUGGUAGAUCUGUCUGUCUUUCUGUCAACCGCAGUCAAUAUGACCAAUUAUUGUUAUUCAGUCGUCUGGGCCAUCAUACAUGGCAGCAUUUGUCGUGAUGUCCGAGUCAAGCUUAAGAUUGGUUGAUCACAGGGACUUAUAUAUACAAUGUACUAGGUUAAGUGUUGGGUUUAGUUUACGAUCCAAUAUUUUUCUGGAAGUCUGAACCAUGACAUAGGUUAAGGUUGGCUUGUCAUGGGGACUAAUACAUAUAUAGGUUAAAGUCGGUCAGUCAUGGGGACUAAUAUAUAGGUUAAGGUCGGUCAGCCAUGGGGACUAAUAUAUAGGUUAAGGUCGGUCAGCCAUGGGGACUAAUAUAUAGGUUAAGGUCGGUCAGCCAUGGGGACUAAUAUAUAGGUUAAGGUCGGUCAGUCAUGGAGACUAAUAUAUAGGUUAAGGUCGGUCAGACAUGGAGACUAAUAUAUAGGUUAAGGUCGGUCAGCCAUGGGGACUAAUAUAUAGGUUAAGGUCGGUCAGGCAUGAGGACUAAUAUAUAGGUUAAGGUCGGUCAGACAUGGAGACUAAUAUAUAGGUUAAGGUCGGUCAGCCAUGGAGACUAAUAUAUAGGUUAAGGUCGGUCAGACAUGGAGACUAAUAUAUAGGUUAAGGUCGGUCAGCCAUGGGGACUAAUAUAUAGGUUAAGGUCGGUCAGCCAUGGGGACUAAUAUAUAGGUUAAGUCUAUAUUUAGUCUUUGAUCUGUCAGUCAUGUAUGUAACUUUUCCAUCAUCCAACAAAAUAUACACUGUCUAUAUAUCAACACUCUAUUUUCAAAAAGAAGCAUCCAUACCACUAAACAACAAACAAGCACUACUCAACAUAAUAACAUAUUUGGCUCCGUUUUAUUACAGUGUAAUUCUAACUACUGGCUCUAUAGCUCACUAUAGUCUCGGGAUGAAGUCUGGUGUUUAAAGUACCACGUUCCAGCUCUUCCUUCAAUCUUAAGAUAUACAUAGUUUUGACGAAAUAUAAUAAUCCUAGAUUGAUAUCAAAGCCUGUCUUUGUUUUCGUAACAUAUGAAUUAUGACAAUAUUACAAAAAUACUUUAAAUGAUACAAUAUAUCCUAAUGAUGAUAUAUGUGAGAAUCAAUACUGUAGUUUUACAUAAUUGCGAUUAAAACCGGGAAACUACAAACUGAUUAAGGGGAAUCUCUAAUGCGGUUCUCCACUCCCUAUAUGGUAAUGGGCCGCGGAAAAUAUGUAAUCCACCCGUACAUAAACUGGACUGUUUUCUAAGAGCGGAGGACUCCCAAUCAAAGCCAUGCACCAGAAGACCAAAGUCGACCAGGGAAAAAGGUUGGUUUGUUUUCUAUUCUUAGAUGUUUAUUAGUAAAUACAUAUUUUACUGAUGAAUUUUUGACGUAAAUGAGCAGCUUCGACCGAUAUUAUAUGAAAACAAAAACACCAAGAGGCUUUGAGUUACGUUUGAUUUAGUGUAAAUAGUUGAAUAUUGAUACAGAUUCCCUAUUGUCGUGUGUACAUGUAAUAACCAUUACAUUAUGAUCUCAAUUAAUGCACACUUUAUAUCCAGAUAUCAAAAUAUAGAGGCAUGAAGAUAAGACUUUCACAAGCUUGUAAGUGUUGAAAAUAUUUUUGUGCAUUUCAUAGCUAGAAAUCAACUGGCAUGAAAAUGAAAAGAUUUUUACAAGCCUGAAAGUGUUGAAGACAUGUAUGACUACCUUUAAAAUUAUUUUUUAACUUCCUUCAGAAUUCCAUGAUUUUAAUGAAAUUAAAGGUUAAAUAACCUAUAGUAUGAUCUUUAUAAGAUGUUUUACACAACUAUAAAACUGUGAUGAAAAUCAAAUAGAAAAUCCACACUGCCUUACGGUACAUUAUCAACACUAGACAGCAUCGAGAGCCUAUAUUGUACAACAAUUAAUAUUAUACUACAGCCUUCCAUCUAGACUAGUCACUCAACAUGUAUUAAAUAUUCAGUAUUCAUACAAACAUAUGCUCAAAAAUAUACAUAUGAAAUUAAAUUAAAACAUGCAUAUCAUUUGAUGUAGGAGACAACAAUGAGAUGAUGUAUUUGGUAUAAUCCGAUAUGGUAGUAAAAACCCCUACCAUAUUGGCUUGAUAUUCUCCACAAUAAUGUCAAUGGGUAUAAAAUGGGUGAUGGAAUUAAUCAGUGUACAGAGAAUUUGAUCUGUAGAUGAUGCCCUUGUAGAUUUCUGUGGUUAUCACUGAAUCUGCAGAAAAUAAAAAAACAAACAAACAACCGUAGUUAUCUUCCAUGUAAAAAAUAUGCAAAUAUUAAUUUUUGUAACAUGGCUAUUUUCUUCUUGAGCCAGCGUCAGUUCCAAAGUGGGUGGGUUGUUCAGAGGGGCACUACGCUUGAGCUUGGGUACCUAAGGUAUGCAGGGCGAUUAAUGAAAUUAAUAUAUACAUACAAACAGAAGAAAUUAAGCACAAUGAGCUCAGGCAUCACCAGUAAGUAUAUUUGAAGUUUCAUUAGCUGACUAGUUUUGCCUCUUGGUACAAGGCUUCAUCAGAACCAAGAGUAUGAUGAUUACUUACUGGUUAUUCAGUCCAGGUGAACAGUUGUAAUACGUAUAACUAACUGGUUAUUCAGUCCAGGUGAACAGUUGUAAUACGUAUAACUAACUGGUUAUUCAGUCCAGGUGAACAGUUGUAAUACGUAUAACUAACUGGUUAUUCAGUCCAGGUGAACAGUUGUAAUACGUAUAACUAACUGGUUAUUCAGUCCAGGUGAACAGUUGUAAUACGUAUAACUAACUGGUUAUUCAGUCCAGGUGAACAGUUGUAAUAUGUAUAACUAACUGGUUAUUCAGUCCAGGUGAACAGUUGUAAUACGUAUAACUAACUGGUUAUUCAGUCCAGGUGAGCAGUUGUAAUACGUAUAACUAACUGGUUAUUCAGUCCAGGUGAAUAGUUGUAAUAUGUAUAACUAACUGGUUAUUCAGUCCAGGUGAAUAGUUGUAAUACGUAUAACUAACUGGUUAUUCAGUCCAGGUGAGCAGUUGUAAUAUGUAUAACUAACUGGUUAUUCAGUCCAGGUGAAUAGUUGUAAUACGUAUAACUAACUGGUUAUUCAGUCCAGGUGAACAGUUGUAAUACGUAUAACUAACUGGUUAUUCAGUCCAGGUGAACAGUU